GACGAACGCUGGCGGCGUGCUUAACACAUGCAAGUCGAGCGAUGAAACACCUUCGGGUGCGGAUUAGCGGCGAACGGGUGAGGAACACGUGAGGAAUCUGCCUUCCACUCUGGGAUAACUCCGGGAAACCGGGGCUAAUACCGGAUACCUUCAACUGGCGGCAUCGCCGGUUGAAGAAAGUUUUUCGGUGGAAGAAGACCUCGCGGCCUAUCAGCUUGUUGGUGAGGUAAAGGCUCACCAAGGCGACGACGGGUAGCCGGCCUGAGAGGGCGACGGGCCACACUGGGAGUUAGACACGGCCCAGACUCCUACGGGAGGCAGCAGUGUGGAAUAUUGGGCAAUGGAGGAAACUCUGACCCAGCGACGCCGCGUGAGGGAUGAAGGCCUUCGGGUUGUAAACCUCUUUCAGCAGGGAAUAAGCGAAAGUGAAGGUACCUGCAGAAGAAGCACCGGCUAACUAUUUGCCAGCCGCCGCGGUAA
RNAcentral lists this ribosomal RNA (480 nucleotides) under uncultured bacterium. RNAcentral describes it as "partial 16S ribosomal RNA". It matches the Rfam family "Bacterial small subunit ribosomal RNA", at positions 28 to 523 of the family's 1533-position model. The record is from RNAcentral.